CAAAGGAAGGAGCCACAAAUCUCAGUCAACGCAUUAACCAUAGUGGUUGGGUUCAGAACUAUGAGAAUAGUUGGAUAUCAUAAAAAACGACCUUUACAUAUUCUCAUUGAUAGUGGCAACACUCAUAAUUUCUUAGAUACCCAAAUGGAAAAAAAUAUGGGUGCAUAAUUGAUACGAUUGCCCAUUUGAAUGUCAUGGUAAGCUGGG
This 207-nucleotide long non-coding RNA is filed under the name Phaseolus vulgaris (common bean). RNAcentral's name for it is "long non-coding RNA (PVUL_LNC000244)". The record is from RNAcentral. Lineage: Eukaryota; Viridiplantae; Streptophyta; Magnoliopsida; Fabales; Fabaceae.